This 115-nucleotide unclassified non-coding RNA is filed under the name uncultured fungus. RNAcentral's name for it is "sequence contains ITS1". Lineage: Eukaryota; Fungi. The record is from RNAcentral.
UUGUUUCUAUUGUAUCACGUUCGUCACACUGGUUGUUGUAAGGUACCGUUCACAGAGGUUUGAUUUUACGCCUCUCGGCUCACUAAUGAUCCUUCCGCAGGUUCACCUACGGAAA